AUAAAUGUAAAUAUUAUUAAUUUAAACCUUAAUUAUAUUUUGAAUAUCUUAAUUUAUUAAUAUAUUUUGGAAAAUCUUUGUCAUAAUAAUUAUCAUUGUCACCAUCAAAAUUAUAGGAAAAUUCAUCUUUUUUAAAGAAAAUACAGUAAUGAAAAAGUAAAAAAUGAGAGAUAUUUGCUAAUCUUAAGAAAACUCUAAUUUUGUUCUAAUUUUUUUCGGCUCAGCGCUUGGAAAAAUAGACGAAAUCAAGGUGAACAUAAAAGUUUACUAUAGUUUUUGGAUAUCUCCAAUAAUAGCCGAGAUAUUAAUUUUUCAAAUUGUACGUAUGAGAGCGCAUCGAAAGAAACGCUGAGCUGCUCGAGCUGCCGUCAAUGCUUGACACAGUGGGCCGUGUUAUAGCUCGAGCGGCUCAGCGCUUUUCAUUCGUACAAUUUGAAAAUUUAAUCUCGGCUAUCAUUGGAGAUAUCUAAAAAUUGUAGUGAACUUUUAUGUUCACCUUGAUUCCGUUUAUCUUUCCUACAUGAAGUAUUGCAUACCUGAUGUGAGACACUUUUCUAUAAAAUAUUAAGCUUUUCAGUUUAAAGGUUUUUUGCGUCUACACUUUGAGUUUUUAAAUGUGUGAAUAUCAUUAUGAUUGAUAAACGAUUACAAGCGUAUCGCACGUAUCAACGCUUUCUUAAGAUACUACUGACUAUGAGUGGCUGUUGGCCCAUACCAACAAAAUCCGGCAAGUCUAAAUAUUACUGGUCAUUUUGUACGCUUUUGGGAUUGACCACGUACGUGACAUGUUGCUUGAAUUUCGGUUAUAACUAUAAACAUAAUUUGACAAUUUGCAUGAAAUACAUAGGCAUGGCUAUAUCUGGAUUUGGCAGCUUUAUCAAGGUGACAAUCUUUUUAAUAAAUCGUGACUCUCUGAUAAAUAUGCACCGAACUCUAAAUGAUUUUUUUGAGGAAGAGCUUAUACAAAACAAGAAAAUACGAACAAUAAUAUUUUCGUCCCUACGUAAAGUGUAUAUCCUGGGGUACACAUAUGCCACCAUUAUGACAGCACUGAUCUUGGCGUAUAUUAUGCCUCCCUAUAUCCAUAUAAUCCGCGAUCUCUGUCACUUGCGUUUGACUACGAACUACACUCUGCCGGUCAGCAAGGGACGUGGAUACCCCUGGACUAUUCCCGACAAUUUUUUUUAUCAUCUUCAUAUGCUUAUGGAGACAAUUUGUUCGUGCUUAAGUGCCAUAACAACGAGUGGCGUCGACAGCGUCUUUGGCUUUUAUGUUUAUCAAUUCGCUUCGACGAUGCAUGCCAUGACUUUCAGGUUCACGAAUCCUCUUCCCACUCAGAAGUUUUCGAAUCUGUUGAAAAAGAGCGUUAAAAAACAUAAGAAACUGUUGCGAUGCCGCGGCACCCUAGAACACAUCUAUGGACCCAUUAUCUUUUGGCAUACUGUCUCCAGUGCGGUGCUUCUUUGCUUCUUGAUGUACGAGAUGGCACAUGUUUCGCAUUUUACCAUUAAAAACUUAUCCGAAGUGCUGACAUUCGCUACCGUGAAGCUGCUUCAAAUGUUUAUGUAUGCAUGGGGCGGUACUAUUCUUACAAAUGCGAUCCUGGGUUUGAAUCGCUGCGUUCUCGCGUCUCUCGGCUGGUUGACGCUCCGUUCCGGCAUGCCGCGACGUAACGGGGAUUAUCAUCAUUGGAGACACCCUGACCGCAGCGUGCAUACGUAGUGCCAGAUUAUUUGACCAGGAGCAACACAAGGUGGAUCUAAUUUGGGCACGAGAAGUCUACUUUCAAGGAAAUAUUAAUACUAAUGUCUAUCUAUAUUGAUAAAAAUAAAAGACUUUUCCCUUUAGGCCAUGUUAUAGGAAAGAGGAGUUUUAGUGGGUAGGCGGCGGUGAGGCUUUUCGAUGUGCCUUCCGUUGAAUCCCACAUUCUCUUGGUCUUUCGGGGAGUCCUUUGAAGAUUUCCUCCUCUAUAAAAAAAAAAAAAAAAAAAAAAAAAAAAAAAGAGGGCAGGCAGAUACACACACAAAAAGUAUGUACAAGACGGGGACAAGGAGACACGCAAAUAUAUUAAUACUUAAAUGUAUAAUAUGUUUCUUAUUGCAUAGAUAUGUAAUAUUACUAUGAUAUCUUUUAUUUUACGUAAUAAAAUAAGAAAAAUUUUUUU
RNAcentral lists this unclassified non-coding RNA (2164 nucleotides) under Monomorium pharaonis (pharaoh ant). RNAcentral describes it as "odorant receptor 9a-like, transcript variant X2". The stretch from base 1778 to 1975 matches the Rfam family "R2 RNA element". The record is from RNAcentral. Lineage: Eukaryota; Metazoa; Arthropoda; Insecta; Hymenoptera; Formicidae.